UAAUACGUAGGUCCCGAGCGUUGUCCGGAUUUAUUGGGCGUAAAGCGAGCGCAGGCGGUUCUUUAAGUCUGAAGUUAAAGGCAGUGGCUUAACCAUUGUACGCUUUGGAAACUGGAGGACUUGAGUGCAGAAGGGGAGAGUGGAAUUCCAUGUGUAGCGGUGAAAUGCGUAGAUAUAUGGAGGAACACCGGUGGCGAAAGCGGCUCUCUGGUCUGUAACUGACGCUGAGGCUCGAAAGCGUGGGGAGCAAACAGGAUUAGAUACCCUGGUAGUCCACGCCGUAAACGAUGAGUGCUAGGUGUUAGGCCCUUUCCGGGGCUUAGUGCCGCAGCUAACGCAUUAAGCACUCCGCCUGGGGAGUACGACCGCAAGGUUGAAACUCAAAUGAAUUGACGG
This 396-nucleotide ribosomal RNA is filed under the name bacterium enrichment culture. RNAcentral's name for it is "bacterial SSU rRNA". It matches the Rfam family "Bacterial small subunit ribosomal RNA", at positions 521 to 916 of the family's 1533-position model. The record is from RNAcentral.